RNAcentral lists this ribosomal RNA (763 nucleotides) under uncultured bacterium. RNAcentral describes it as "bacterial SSU rRNA". It matches the Rfam family "Bacterial small subunit ribosomal RNA", at positions 87 to 826 of the family's 1533-position model. The record is from RNAcentral.
CGAGUACAGCGGCGCACGGGUGAGUAACACGUAGGUAACCUACCCUCGAGCCUGGGAUAACCUACCGAAAGGUGGGCUAAUACCGGAUAUGACCACGGCGGUUUCGGCCGCUGCGGUGAAAGGUGGUCUCUGCUCGCAUGCUAUUACUCGGGGAUGGGCCUGCGCGCCAUUAGCUUGUUGGUGAGGUAACGGCUCACCAAGGCUCCGAUGGCUAGCUGGUCUGAGAGGAUGACCAGUCACACUGGGACUGAAACACGGCCCAGACUCCUACGGGAGGCAGCAGUGGGGGAUAUUGCGCAAUGGGCGAAAGCCUGACGCAGCGACGUCGCGUGGGUGAUGAAGGCCCUCGGGUCGUAAAGCCCUGUCGAGGGGGAAGAAAUGGUCGAGACCCAAUACGUCUCGGCCUUGACGGUACCCCUAAAGGAAGCACCGGCUAACUCCGUGCCAGCAGCCGCGGUAAUACGGAGGGUGCGAGCGUUGUUCGGAAUCACUGGGCGUAAAGCGCGUGCAGGCGGCUCGGUAAGUUUGGUGUGAAAGCCCGGGGCUCAACUCCGGAAGUGCACUGGAUACUGUCGAGCUCGAGUCCCGGAGAGGAAGGUGGAAUUCCUGGUGUAGCGGUGAAAUGCGUAGAUAUCAGGAGGAACACCGGCGGCGAAGGCGGCCUUCUGGACGGUGACUGACGCUGAGACGCGAAAGCGUGGGGAGCAAACAGGAUUAGAUACCCUGGUAGUCCACGCCGUAAACGAUGAGAACUAGGUGUCGC